Molecule: ribosomal RNA, 250 nt
Filed under: uncultured bacterium
Lineage: Bacteria
Description: partial 16S ribosomal RNA
Rfam family: Bacterial small subunit ribosomal RNA
Source: RNAcentral
ACGCGACAAACCUUACCUACUCUUGACAUCCUGCGAAUUCGGUAGAGAUACCUUAGUGCCUUCGGGAACGCAGAGACAGGUGCUGCAUGGCUGUCGUCAGCUCGUGUUGUGAAAUGUUGGGUUAAGUCCCCGUAACGAGCGCAACCCUUGUCCUUAUUUGCCAGCACGUAAUGGUGGGAACUCUAAGGAGACUGCCGGUGACAAACCCGGAGGAAGGUGGGGACGACGUCAAGUCAUCAUGGCCCUUACG